GAUGAACGCUGGCGGCGUGCCUAAUACAUGCAAGUCGAGCGAACAGAUGAGGAGCUUGCUCCUCUGACGUUAGCGGCGGACGGGUGAGUAACACGUGGAUAACCUACCUAUAAGACUGGGAUAACUUCGGGAAACCGGAGCUAAUACCGGAUAAUAUAUUGAACCGCAUGGUUCAAUAGUGAAAGACGGUUUUGCUGUCACUUAUAGAUGGAUCCCCGCCGCAUUAGCUAGUUGGUAAGGUAACGGCUUGCCAAGGCAACGAUGCGUAGCCGACCUGAGAGGGUGAUCGGCCACAUUGGAACUGAGACACGGUCCAGACUCCUACGGGAGGCAGCAGUAGGGAAUCUUCCGCAAUGGGCGAAAGCCUGACGGAGCAACGCCGCGUGAGUGAUGAAGGUCUUCGGAUCGUAAAACUCUGUUAUUAGGGAAGAACAAAUGUGUAAGUAACUAUGCACGUCUUGACGGUACCUAAUCAGAAAGCCACGGCUAACUACGUG
RNAcentral lists this ribosomal RNA (497 nucleotides) under uncultured bacterium. Its description in RNAcentral is "partial 16S ribosomal RNA". It matches the Rfam family "Bacterial small subunit ribosomal RNA", at positions 28 to 507 of the family's 1533-position model. The record is from RNAcentral.